Molecule: ribosomal RNA, 493 nt
Filed under: uncultured bacterium
Lineage: Bacteria
Description: bacterial SSU rRNA
Rfam family: Bacterial small subunit ribosomal RNA
Source: RNAcentral
AAAGGAAUUGACGGGGACCCGCACAAGCGGUGGAGCAUGUGGUUUAAUUCGAAGCAACGCGAAGAACCUUACCUACCCUUGACAUCCCUCUGCCCGGUCAGUAAUGUGACCUUUUCUACGGAACAGAGGAGACAGGUGGUGCAUGGUUGUCGUCAGCUCGUGUCGUGAGAUGUUGGGUUAAGUCCCGCAACGAGCGCAACCCUUAUCUUUAGUAGCCAGCAGUAAGAUGGGCACUCUAGAGAGACUGCCAGGGAUAACCUGGAGGAAGGUGGGGAUGACGUCAAAUCAUCAUGCCCCUUAUGGGUAGGGCUACACACGUGCUACAAUGGCGUAAACAAAGGGAAGCAAGAGGGUGACCUGGAGCAAAUCCCAAAAAUAACGUCUCAGUUCGGAUUGUAGUCUGCAACUCGACUACAUGAAGCUGGAAUCGCUAGUAAUCGCGAAUCAGAAUGUCGCGGUGAAUACGUUCCCGGGUCUUGUACACACCGCCCGU